Molecule: long non-coding RNA, 1185 nt
Organism: Entelurus aequoreus (snake pipefish)
Lineage: Eukaryota; Metazoa; Chordata; Actinopteri; Syngnathiformes; Syngnathidae
Exons: 3
Source: RefSeq, a predicted model, not a curated record
ACUCCUUAGCCAUAACGCAAUAAAGGAGGACAAGUUGCUAGCAUAAAGGAGACUUUUAGCCAGAAAUGUCUCAUAGGUCGUAUUAAAUGUUCAGGAAUUAACGUGUUGCUGGUGCAGUAAAACACAUAUUUCCAACAUGUACUUUAACACGUGAUUUUGGCUGUUUCACAUAACUUUGUCCGUUCAAUGUUACCCGGAAGUGGACCGUGACAAAGCACUUUUAGGGUCGAAAGGUACAAAAGUCACCUGGACAAUGGUGACGGACGCAGCGGUGAUGAUUCCGCAGACGAAGCAGCUGGCGCAGAGAGCCAACUCCAGCAGCAGCAGCCCGGUGAGCGCCAUCAUCCAGCGGUCAGCUUCCCCUCCUCUGCCCGGGGAUCAGCGUCAAGCGUUAAGCAGGGGUCGCUGUCUCUCCCGGUCCAAAUGGCAGAGUAGAACUCCCUCAGGGCCACUUCGGAGACCUCGAUAAACCUUUCUGGGACCUGAAUGCAGCAAGACAAAGAAGUCAUCUAGAAGGUGGAGCACCACACAGAUGAUGUGGAACAGGAUGGAGCGGCGUUAUCUGUCAUCCUCAUCCCUCUAUCCUCCCCACCACAGUGCUCAAAGCAGAGUGCCAGGAAAAGAGGGGGAUGAAUAGAGGAGGACGAAGAGGCAGGGUGACUUUUUCCAUCCCCUCAACAAUAGAUGGAUGAUCUCUGCUUAUCCUCAAAUCGUAUCCCUCCUUUUUCUACCCUCUACUGCUAUUUUUCUUUGUUUUCUUCUUUUGUCAGCCCUCUCCAUCCGUCUGUCCUUCCACUCAUCCCUCAUCCCUCGCUCCUGUCCUUCGUCAUCGUCCCGUCCCCCCCCCCCCCCUCACUCCAGCAAACUUCAUGCUUUAAUUGGAGCUUGCUCACACCCUCAAAGGACACAACAUUAUAUGUGCACCCAUGCAACCUCACUCCUACACUGCCAUAUUCCUGAAAUGUUUCUCUGAUGCGAGCCCUUUGGUGUUUUCCUUCGGGGCAAACAAGGUUCCAGUCGCAGCAACACUGCACACUGCAUGUUGUCCUUUCACCUUUUUCUACUUCCUUGCCUCGCUUCCUUGCUGCUCUGCAUCGUGUUCACUAUUUACUUCCAAACUCAAACAUUAUUUCAAGAUGCAAAACAAUAACGGUGUAGACCAAAAAAAGGGGUACAAAACCCAAA